GCAAGGAUCAAGAAAACCACUCAGGGAGGUGAUGACUGAUGGCCUGCAGGUGUGAAAAUGAGAAAACAGGACCAGGUGUGUCAGAAAGGUAAAGUCUGAGCUGAGCUGAAAGUUGAUGGUCCAUCUACAUUCAGACCCUCAUCUACGGUCAUGAGAAGACUACCAUUAGAGCAAGAAGAUCCUGAGUACAUCACCUGGAAUGAACCUCCUUUGUAAGUUCACCAGGCACAUCCCCCUUGGAGGAACGCCCCUGAACAGACCCAGAACUUACUGGAGGGACUGAAUUAUCUAUACUGGAAACACACUGGAAUCCAAGCUGCGGGGAUAAAUGGAGAGGAAAGAAUUGUCUGGGCUUUUUCUUUGUGGUCGGAUUUUCUUCUAAUGGACAGUUUCUUCAGUUUCAGGU
This is a long non-coding RNA of Girardinichthys multiradiatus, 406 nucleotides long. RefSeq lists it as uncharacterized. The transcript is spliced from 3 exons. The record is from RefSeq and is a predicted model, not a curated record. Lineage: Eukaryota; Metazoa; Chordata; Actinopteri; Cyprinodontiformes; Goodeidae.